GCCACAGCGGGCUCCUACAUUGCCUCGCAGACGGUGAAGAAGGUGAUUGAGAUCAACCCCUACCUGCUGGGCACCAUGGCUGGAGGAGCGGCCGACUGCAGCUUCUGGG
This 109-nucleotide microRNA precursor is filed under the name Tetraodon nigroviridis (spotted green pufferfish). RNAcentral's name for it is "miRNA (ENSTNIG00000020125.1)". Lineage: Eukaryota; Metazoa; Chordata; Actinopteri; Tetraodontiformes; Tetraodontidae. The record is from RNAcentral.